Molecule: ribosomal RNA, 522 nt
Filed under: Phoma sp.
Lineage: Eukaryota; Fungi; Ascomycota; Dothideomycetes; Pleosporales; Didymellaceae
Description: eukaryotic LSU rRNA
Rfam family: 5.8S ribosomal RNA (bases 172-325)
Source: RNAcentral
UUUCCGUAGGUGAACCUGCGGAAGGAUCAUUACCUAGAGUUGCGGGCUUUGCCUGCUAUCUCUUACCCAUGUCUUUUGAGUACCUUCGUUUCCUCGGCGGGUUCGCCCGCCGAUUGGACAAUUUAAACCAUUUGCAGUUGCAAUCAGCGUCUGAAAAAACUUAAUAGUUACAACUUUCAACAACGGAUCUCUUGGUUCUGGCAUCGAUGAAGAACGCAGCGAAAUGCGAUAAGUAGUGUGAAUUGCAGAAUUCAGUGAAUCAUCGAAUCUUUGAACGCACAUUGCGCCCCUUGGUAUUCCAUGGGGCAUGCCUGUUCGAGCGUCAUUUGUACCUUCAAGCUCUGCUUGGUGUUGGGUGUUUGUCUCGCCUCUGCGCGCAGACUCGCCUCAAAACAAUUGGCAGCCGGCGUAUUGAUUUCGGAGCGCAGUACAUCUCGCGCUUUGCACUCAUAACGACGACGUCCAAAAGUACAUUUUUACACUCUUGACCUCGGAUCAGGUAGGGAUACCCGCUGAACUUAA